Molecule: ribosomal RNA, 492 nt
Filed under: uncultured bacterium
Lineage: Bacteria
Description: partial 16S ribosomal RNA
Rfam family: Bacterial small subunit ribosomal RNA
Source: RNAcentral
AGUGAACGCUGGCGGUAGGCCUAACACAUGCAAGUCGAACGGCAGCACAGUAAGAGCUUGCUCUUACGGGUGGCGAGUGGCGGACGGGUGAGGAAUACAUCGGAAUCUACUUUUUCGUGGGGGAUAACGUAGGGAAACUUACGCUAAUACCGCAUACGACCUACGGGUGAAAGCAGGGGAUCUUCGGACCUUGCGCGAUUGAAUGAGCCGAUGUCGGAUUAGCUAGUUGGCGGGGUAAAGGCCCACCAAGGCGACGAUCCGUAGCUGGUCUGAGAGGAUGAUCAGCCACACUGGAACUGAGACACGGUCCAGACUCCUACGGGAGGCAGAAGUGGGGAAUAUUGGACAAUGGGCGCAAGCCUGAUCCAGCCAUACCGCGUGGGUGAAGAAGGCUUUCGGGUUUUAAAGCCCUUUUGUUGGGAAAGAAAAGCAGCAGGUUAAUACCCCGCUGUUCUGACGGUACCCAAAGAAUAAGCACCGGCUAACUUCGUG